This 303-nucleotide ribosomal RNA is filed under the name uncultured bacterium. RNAcentral's name for it is "bacterial SSU rRNA". It matches the Rfam family "Bacterial small subunit ribosomal RNA", at positions 29 to 334 of the family's 1533-position model. The record is from RNAcentral.
AACGAACGCUGGCGGCGUGCUUAACACAUGCAAGUCGAACGCGAAAGCCCUUCGGGGUUAGUAGAGUGGCGCACGGGUGAGUAAUGGAUAGGAACGUACCUUUUGGUGGGGAAUAACUCCGAGAAAUCGAAGCUAAUACCGCGUAAGGACGCAAGUCGAAAGAGGGCCUCUAUUUAUAAGCUCUUGCCGAAAGAUCGGCCUAUCUUCCAUUAGCUUGUUGGUAGGGUAAUGGCCUACCAAGGCGACGAUGGAUAGCUGGUUUGAGAGGAUGAUCAGCCACACUGGAACUGAGACACGGUCCAG